AUUGAACGCUGGCGGCAUGCCUUACACAUGCAAGUCGAACGGUAACAGGUCUUCGGAUGCUGACGAGUGGCGAACGGGUGAGUAAUACAUCGGAACGUGCCUAGUAGUGGGGGAUAACUACUCGAAAGAGUGGUUAAUACCGCAUGAGAUCUACGGAUGAAAGCAGGGGAUCGCAAGACCUUGUGCUACUAGAGCGGCCGAUGGCAGAUUAGGUAGUUGGUGGGAUAAAAGCUUACCAAGCCGACGAUCUGUAGCUGGUCUGAGAGGACGAUCAGCCACACUGGGACUGAGACACGGCCCAGACUCCUACGGGAGGCAGCAGUGGGGAAUUUUGGACAAUGGGCGCAAGCCUGAUCCAGCAAUGCCGCGUGCAGGAUGAAGGCCUUCGGGUUGUAAACUGCUUUUGUACGGAACGAAAAGCCCUGGGUUAAUAUCCUGGGGUCAUGACGGUACCGUAAGAAUGAGCACCGGCUAACUACGUGCCAGCAGCCGCCGUAA
RNAcentral lists this ribosomal RNA (498 nucleotides) under uncultured bacterium. RNAcentral's name for it is "partial 16S ribosomal RNA". It matches the Rfam family "Bacterial small subunit ribosomal RNA", at positions 30 to 523 of the family's 1533-position model. The record is from RNAcentral.